RNAcentral lists this ribosomal RNA (338 nucleotides) under uncultured Rhodococcus sp. Its description in RNAcentral is "bacterial SSU rRNA". It matches the Rfam family "Bacterial small subunit ribosomal RNA", at positions 1044 to 1382 of the family's 1533-position model. The record is from RNAcentral. Lineage: Bacteria; Bacillati; Actinomycetota; Actinomycetes; Mycobacteriales; Nocardiaceae.
CAUGGCUGUCGUCAGCUCGUGUCGUGAGAUGUGGGUUAAGUCCCGCAACGAGCGCAACCCUAUCUUAUGUUGCCAGCACGUUAUGGUGGGGACUCGUAAGAGACUGCCGGGGUCAACUCGGAGGAAGGUGGGGACGACGUCAAGUCAUCAUGCCCCUUAUGUCCAGGGCUUCACACAUGCUACAAUGGCCAGUACAGAGGGCUGCGAGACCGUGAGGUGGAGCGAAUCCCUUAAAGCUGGUCUCAGUUCGGAUCGGGGUCUGCAACUCGACCCCGUGAAGUCGGAGUCGCUAGUAAUCGCAGAUCAGCAACGCUGCGGUGAAUACGUUCCCGGGCCUU